AACGAACGCUGGCGGCAGGCUUAACACAUGCAAGUCGAGCGCCCCGCCAGGGGAGCGGCAGACGGGUGAGUAACGCGUGGGAACGUACCUUUUGGUUCGGAACAACUCCGGGAAACUGGAGCUAAUACCGGAUAAGCCCUAACGGGGAAAGAUUUAUCGCCUAAAGAUCGGCCCGCGUCUGAUUAGCUAGUUGGUGAGGUAACGGCUCACCAAGGCGACGAUCAGUAGCUGGUCUGAGAGGAUGAUCAGCCACACUGGGACUGAGACACGGCCCAGACUCCUACGGGAGGCAGCAGUGGGGAAUAUUGGACAAUGGGCGCAAGCCUGAUCCAGCCAUGCCGCGUGAGUGAUGAAGGCCUUAGGGUUGUAAAGCUCUUUUGUCCGGGAAGAUAAUGACUGUACCGGAAGAAUAAGCCCCGGCUAACUUCGUG
RNAcentral lists this ribosomal RNA (431 nucleotides) under uncultured bacterium. RNAcentral's name for it is "partial 16S ribosomal RNA". It matches the Rfam family "Bacterial small subunit ribosomal RNA", at positions 29 to 507 of the family's 1533-position model. The record is from RNAcentral.